AUGCAUUGAGAUUGCAUAGAGGAACCACCAACAAAGUCUCUGGAGGUGGAUCAGUUGCAGCUGGGUGACGGAAUGGUGACUACGCGAUCAGAUGGAUUGCCUAAGAGAGACGCCUCUACAUGGACAGAUCGUCCCUGUAUCGAUGUCUCUCUUAGCCAAUCAUGCUCGUCGCGUAGGGCCAGAGUAUCUAACGUCCGCCAUAGAAUGGCCUGAGAACCGUGGCGCAGAUGGAAAGUAUCCCAAAGGUUACAAGCUGAACAAUGGCUCCCACAUCAAGGCGGUCAAUGGGACCUUCAUCACAGCCUCUGGAUGUGGAUCACCUGCGGCAUUGUGACGGAUCUAUGUCUACGUUAAUGAUGUGUCUUCCAUCUUGCCCCGUUAACUUAGAGGUAUCCUGGACAUCCGCUAGGCGACUCUCUACCGACAUCACUGCAGUAGAAUCAUGGAGAUGUGCGUACUUUGGCCCUUGUUCCGCAUUCUUCAUCUCACUGAACUCCACAUCACUUCAGUAAUCAGCAUUGCCUCCAGAAAGAAAUUUGCCUCCAGGCUCUCCACUUGCAACUUGCUGUUCUAUGGGUGCAAGCUAAUAUUGUACUCCGGUAGUCUAUGAUAGAUGUCUCGCAAGACAUUCACUUGUGUGUUUAGAUAGACCAGGUUACUGUGCAACCCUUCAAUCUGUGUAUCCAGCAUUGUCAACACUUUCACGAUUGAAUAGUUUCCACAUUCUUCUAUACUAGUUGUUCCCUUUAUUAGAGGCUCUGACUAUGUCCUCGUCUCUCUUGGCCAACUAGCUCUCUCGCGUAGGGCCACAUGCAGACCUGCGGGAAGAUCACCUCCAGCAGCAUUUGUUUCAAUCGUCUCCUCAUUAAAUUAGCCAUGGAAGAUUGUGCUUUGA
Non-coding RNA from Physcomitrium patens, 895 nucleotides. Lineage: Eukaryota; Viridiplantae; Streptophyta; Bryopsida; Funariales; Funariaceae. The record is from RefSeq and is a predicted model, not a curated record.